RNAcentral lists this ribosomal RNA (253 nucleotides) under uncultured bacterium. Its description in RNAcentral is "partial 16S ribosomal RNA". It matches the Rfam family "Bacterial small subunit ribosomal RNA", at positions 524 to 776 of the family's 1533-position model. The record is from RNAcentral.
UAAGGAGGGCGCGAGCGUUACCCGGAUUUACUGGGCGUAAAGGGCGUGUAGGCGGCCUGGGGCGUCCCAUGUGAAAUGCCACGGCUCAACCGUGGAGGAGCGUGGGAUACGCUCAGGCUAGACGGUGGGAGAGGGUGGUGGAAUUCCCGGAGUAGCGGUGAAAUGCGCAGAUACCGGGAGGAACGCCGAUGGCGAAGGCAGCCCCCUGGCCCACAUGUGACGCUGAGGCGCGAAAGCGUGGGGAGCAAACCGG